RNAcentral lists this transfer RNA (57 nucleotides) under Agama kaimosae. Its description in RNAcentral is "tRNA-Ser". Lineage: Eukaryota; Metazoa; Chordata; Lepidosauria; Squamata; Agamidae. The record is from RNAcentral.
GAGAUUAACAAAUGAACUGCUAAAUCACACCACCGAGAUCAACACCUCGGACAUCUC